This is a non-coding RNA of Streptomyces sp., 120 nucleotides long. Lineage: Bacteria; Bacillati; Actinomycetota; Actinomycetes; Kitasatosporales; Streptomycetaceae. The record is from Rfam.
GAAGGAAUUAUGACCCUUCGGCAUCGCCCUGCGGGGGGAGGUGCCAAACCGCCUCGUGCUGCGUUAGCUAGCGACUGUCGUGGUGAGCGAUGAGGAAAAGGUGUCCAAGAGGCGUCAGGU